UACGUAGGGAGCAAGCGUUGUCCGGAUUUACUGGGUGUAAAGGGUGCGUAGGCGGCUAUGCAAGUCAGUUGUGAAAACUAUGGGCUCAACCCAUAGCCUGCAAUUGAAACUGCGUGGCUUGAGUGAAGUAGAGGUAGGUGGAAUUCCCGGUGUAGCGGUGAAAUGCGUAGAGAUCGGGAGGAACACCAGUGGCGAAGGCGACCUACUGGGCUUUAACUGACGCUGAGGCACGAAAGCAUGGGUAGCAAACAGGAUUAGAUACCCUGGUAGUCCAUGCCGUAAACGAUGAUUACUAGGUGUGGGGGGUCUGACCCCCUCCGUGCCGGAGUUAACACAAUAAGUAAUCCACCUGGGGAGUACGACCGCAAGGUUGAAACUCAAAGGAAUUGACGGGGGCCCGCACAAGCAGUGGAGUAUGUGGUUUAAUUCGAAGCAACGCGAAGAACCUUACCAGGUCUUGACAUCCUACUAACGAAGCAGAGAUGCAUUAGGUGCCCUUCGGGGAAAGUAGAGACAGGUGGUGCAUGGUU
Molecule: ribosomal RNA, 530 nt
Filed under: uncultured bacterium
Lineage: Bacteria
Description: bacterial SSU rRNA
Rfam family: Bacterial small subunit ribosomal RNA
Source: RNAcentral